This is a long non-coding RNA of Zea mays, 153 nucleotides long. RefSeq lists it as uncharacterized. The record is from RefSeq and is a predicted model, not a curated record. NCBI's taxonomy places the organism in Eukaryota, Viridiplantae, Streptophyta, Magnoliopsida, Poales, Poaceae. The transcript is spliced from 3 exons.
CCUUCGUCCGGACAAGAGAGAUUGGAUCCUCCCAUCCAGACAACCUGAUAGAACGACAGUGUAUAAGAACAGGGCUCUUAGGACGCCUUUUGUCAAGUUGGGUCAUAACUCUACCCUGAGAAUUGAGAUAGAUGAUCAUGUGGUGCAAGAUAA